ACCCGUUGAUCCUGCGGGAGGUUGCUGCUAGGGGGAUUCGACUAAGCCAUGCAAGUCUGAUAGCAAUAUCGGCGAAAUGCUCAGUAACACGUCGUUAACAUGCCCUUCGGUCAGGGAUAAGCACGGGAAACUGUGUGUAAUACCUGAUAAGAAAAUUAACCUGGAAUGGUAGUUUUUUUGAAACUUGUGCCGAAGGAUUGGGCGGCGGCGGAUUAGGUAGUUGGCGGUGUAACGGACCACCAAGCCGAAGAUCCGUACGGGCCUUGAGAGAGGUAGCCCGGAGAGGGACACUGAGAUACUGGUCCCAGCCCUACGGGGUGCAGCAGGCGCGAAACCUUUACAAUGCACGCAAGUGUGAUAAGGGAAUCCCCCGUGCUCAUGCAUAGCAUGGGCUUUUAUUAAGUGUAAAUAGCUUGAUGAAUAAGUGGUGGGAAAGACUGGUGCCAGCCGCCGCGGUAACACCAGCGCCACGAGUGGCAACCGCGAUUAUGGGCCUAAAGCGUCCGUAGCCGGUUCGGUAAAUCUCUUGUGAAAUUGUGCAGCUCAACUGCACAACGUGCAAGAGACACUGCCGGACUUGAGACCGGGAGGAGUCAGAAGUAUUCCAGGGGGAGCGGUAAAAUGUUAUAAUCCCUGGAGGACUACCUGUGGCGAAGGCGUCUGACCAGAACGGAUCUGACGGUGAGGGACGAAAGCCAGGGGAGCGAACCGGAUUAGAUACCCGAGUAGUCCUGGCCGUAAACGCUGUGAGCUAGGUGUUGCGUUAACCACGAGUUGAUGCAGUGUCGAAAUGAAGAUGUUAAGCUCACCGCCUGGGAAGUACGGUCGCAAGACUGAAACUUUAAGGAAUUGGCGGGGGAGCACCACAAGGGGUGCGGCGUGCGGUUUAAUCUAACUCAACGCAGAGAACCUUACUAGAAGCGACGGCAGGAUGAAGGUCAGCUUGAAGAGCUUACCUGACAAGCCGAGAGGUGGUGCAUGGCCGUCGUCAGCUCGUGCUGUGAAGUGUCCUCUUAAGUGAGGCAACGAGCGAGACCUGUAUUUGCAAUUGCUAACAGCCACAUGUGGGACUGAGCACUUUGCAAAGACUGCCCCGGAAACGGGGAGGAAGGUGCAGGCUACGGUAGGUCUGUAUGCCCCGAAUCUUCUAGGCUACACGCGCGCAACAAUGGUUGGGACAAUGGGAUGCCACUCCGAAAGGAGAAGCUAAACCUCUAAACCCAAUCCAAGUCCAGAUUGAGGCUUGCAACUCAGCCUCAUGACGACGGAAUCCCUAGUAAUCAGAAGUCAUCAUCUUCUGGUGAAUAUGUCCCUGCUCCUUGCACACACCGCCCGUCAAAUCAACCGAGCAGGGUCUGGGUAAAAUGUAGUUUUUUGAUUGCAUUGAAUCUAGGCUCAGUGUGGUGGGUUAAGUCGUCACAAGGUA
Molecule: ribosomal RNA, 1426 nt
Filed under: metagenome
Description: bacterial SSU rRNA
Rfam family: Archaeal small subunit ribosomal RNA
Source: RNAcentral